Molecule: ribosomal RNA, 496 nt
Filed under: uncultured bacterium
Lineage: Bacteria
Description: partial 16S ribosomal RNA
Rfam family: Bacterial small subunit ribosomal RNA
Source: RNAcentral
GACGAACGCUGGCGGCGUGCCUAAUACAUGCAAGUUGAGCGAUGAAGCUUGGUGCUUGCACCAAUUUGAAGAGCAGCGAACGGGUGAGUAACGCGUGGGGAAUCUGCCUUUGAGCGGGGGACAACAUUUGGAAACGAAUGCUAAUACCGCAUAACAACUUUAAACAUAAGUUUUAAGUUUGAAAGAUGCAAUUGCAUCACUCAAAGAUGAUCCCGCGUUGUAUUAGCUAGUUGGUGAGGUAAAGGCUCACCAAGGCGAUGAUACAUAGCCGACCUGAGAGGGUGAUCGGCCACAUUGGGACUGAGACACGGCCCAAACUCCUACGGGAGGCAGCAGUAGGGAAUCUUCGGCAAUGGACGAAAGUCUGACCGAGCAACGCCGCGUGAGUGAAGAAGGUUUUCGGAUCGUAAAACUCUGUUGGUAGAGAAGAACGUUGGUGAGAGUGGAAAGCUCAUCAAGUGACGGUAACUACCCAGAAAGGGACGGCUAACUACGU